AGUGAACGCUGGCGGUAGGCCUAACACAUGCAAGUCGAACGGCAGCACAGUAAGAGCUUGCUCUUACGGGUGGCGAGUGGCGGACGGGUGAGGAAUACAUCGGAAUCUACUUUUUCGUGGGGGAUAGCGUAGGGAAACUUACGCUAAUACCGCAUACGACUUACGGGUGAAAGCAGGGGAUCUUCGGACCUUGCGCGAUUGAAUGAGCCGAUGUCGGAUUAGCUAGUUGGCGGGGUAAAGGCCCACCAAGGCGACGAUCCGUAGCUGGUCUGAGAGGAUGAUCAGCCACACUGGAACUGAGACACGGUCCAGACUCCUACGGGAGGCAGCAGUGGGGAAUAUUGGACAAUGGGCGCAAGCCUGAUCCAGCCAUACCGCGUGGGUGAAGAAGGCCUUCGGGUUGUAAAGCCCUUUUGUUGGGAAAGAAAAGCAGCAGGUUAAUACCCCGCUGUUCUGACGGUACCCAAAGAAUAAGCACCGGCUAACUUCGUG
This 492-nucleotide ribosomal RNA is filed under the name uncultured bacterium. RNAcentral's name for it is "partial 16S ribosomal RNA". It matches the Rfam family "Bacterial small subunit ribosomal RNA", at positions 29 to 507 of the family's 1533-position model. The record is from RNAcentral.